This 171-nucleotide ribosomal RNA is filed under the name uncultured bacterium. Its description in RNAcentral is "partial 16S ribosomal RNA". The stretch from base 1 to 78 matches the Rfam family "Bacterial small subunit ribosomal RNA", at positions 796 to 873 of the family's 1533-position model. The record is from RNAcentral.
CACGCUGUAAACGAUGUGUGCUAGCCGUUGGGACUCUUAGAGUUUCGGUGGCGUCGCUAACGCUUUAAGCACACCGCCUGGGGAGNGCGCAGAACCUUACCAGCUCUUGACAUGGGAAGUUUGGUUUUCAGAGAUGAAAUCCUUCAGUUCGGCUGGCUUCCACACAGGUGC